RNAcentral lists this ribosomal RNA (418 nucleotides) under uncultured bacterium. RNAcentral's name for it is "bacterial SSU rRNA". It matches the Rfam family "Bacterial small subunit ribosomal RNA", at positions 355 to 771 of the family's 1533-position model. The record is from RNAcentral.
UAAGGAAUAUUGGUCAAUGGACGCAAGUCUGAACCAGCCAUGCCGCGUGAAGGAUGAAGGUCCUCUGGAUUGUAAACUUCUUUUAUCUGGGACGAAAACGGGAUUUUUAUCUCAAUUGACGGUACCAGAGGAAUAAGCACCGGCUAACUCCGUGCCAGCAGCCGCGGUAAUACGGAGGGUGCAAGCGUUAUCCGGAUUCACUGGGUUUAAAGGGUGCGUAGGUGGGCAGAUAAGUCAGUGGUGAAAUCUUCCGGCUUAACCGGGAAACUGCCGUUGAUACUAUUUGUCUUGAAUAUUGCGGAGGUAAGCGGAAUAUGUCAUGUAGCGGUGAAAUGCUUAGAUAUGACAUAGAACACCAAUUGCGAAGGCAGCUUACUACACAAUCAUUGACACUGAGGCACGAAAGCGUGGGUAGCGA